CACGGCACACCUUCUGUCCCCUCCGGUGGCCCCCAGCUACCCCCAGCGGGGAGCUGUUUGGGGAGACACAGGCAGCCCCCACUUUGACGGGCUGAGGUUUCAUGAGCCCGUGGAAAGAAGACCCAGCUAAAAUUAACCGUUAUCAAGCUGUCAGCCUGGAAAUAAACCCUCCUCCUAUUGGCUGCUGGUGAUGUCACUGCUGGGUUAAUAAUAACCUGCGAAUGCAUAACUGACCAGCUGGGCAUGUGCCUUCCUGCGGGGCCAAGGCCAGUGGUCACCCUGGGAGCUGCUGCCCGGGCAGUGACUUGGGGGCAGGAUGGGGGUCAGGGCUGAGCACACCCUCCAGCCUUGGGGUGUCUCAGAAUGACCUCAACUCCUGGCCUUGGGCCACAGGCUCCUGUCUGUCCCCAGGACUUCCGGUGUUCACCCUCACGUGCGGGGUCAGUCACAUCUCAUCUCCCAGCCUACCUGGGCAGCAGGACCCUGGACGGCCUUGGGGUCAAGGUCCUCCCUCCCCCAGCUCCCCAGGCUGGACAACCAGGGAACUGAGCUGCCCAUGAGUCCGCACAUUAGGUGGUGUCCAUGGAGGAGGAACUGUCGGCUGCUGCGCUCCCCUCGGAAAAGUGAGAUCGUGGCCCCAAAUCAGAGAAGUAGGGGCCAGAGGGGGCGGUGGGCGGGGCCUGGGGGCCGCGGCCUGGUGGCAGGGCCGGGGCGGGGCUGGAGGGGGGGUGGCGGGCCGGCCGCUUGCGCCCCAACUAGACCCCAAGGCUAGGCAGGGGCCCCACCGAACGUCCAGCCCUGGGCUCGGUCCCUGGGCCGAGUGGAACUGGGUGCAGGGCGUGACUUACUAGACGGUCUAGGCCCCCAAACGGCCCACCUUAAGAAACCCAGCGUGCCUGGAGGGUGGGAGGCCCCGAAGAGGGGGACGCAGCCCCUCAGGGAAGGGAAGGUCAGCCGGGCCUGCCCUACCAGCCACCAGCACUUGGGGCCGCCGAUCCCCCAGCAACACAGCGGGGCGCUGUUGCCAUGGCGAAGGAGCAGAGCUCCACCCAGAGCCCGGGUUAGUGUCACCAGUGCUUGGGAGGGCAGCUUCCUGCCGCCACCAGAGCUCCACCCCUGCCCGGCCUAAGCCCAGCGCCAGCACCGGGGAAGGGGUCUGGCGAGCUUUGCCCUCUGAGCCCCCCAGAGUCCAGGGCUCCGGCCUAGCACCAGGAGGAGGGGGGGCCCAGCCCCUCCCCCAUGUGGUCCAUGGCAGGCUGGGGGGCCACUGGAGAGCCCAGGGGAUGGGUCAGCCUCUCUGGCCAAGAAGGGGCAGCCCCUAUGGUGGGGCCCAGAGACGGAGGGAGCCCCUGGGGAGGGUCUACAGACCCACUGCCCACUCCUCAGGUGCUGCAGGGAGAGGCCUCAGUGCUCAGUUCAAGGAGGAGUGUCUCCAGGCAGACAACCCUGGGGAUCCUGAGGCUCCUUAGCAACCCUGGGCCCAUGUUUUCACCUCGUAGGUAGAGCAAACCCUCGGCAGGCCAAUUGGGAAUAACCUGCCUCCAGAGCAGGAGGCCUCGUGGGUGUCUUAGGGUGACGGGCGCAGGAGGCUGUUGGCGGCAUCCAUCAAUGGUGGAGGUCCAGAGCCUGCCCUGCCCCAGGGGAGACCCCCUCCCUGCUGGCAAGACUGAGGAAGCUGGUCCUUGGUUAGAGAAAAGGUUGGGGGGGGGGGUGCGGGGACUGUCCUUGGAAAUGCUUAGAGAAAAGUGCACAAAUGACAAAGGUACCUGGCCACCCAGAUCAAGAAACACAACACUCCCUCGUGCCCUCAGAGGUGACCACUGUCCUGACUUCUUAGACCGUGCAUCAUGUUGUCUACUCUCAGACUUCACAUACACAGUCUACACGGUAGUUGUUUGUUCUCACUGCCGUACGGGGUUCCGCGUUCAGUGUCGCUCUACGAUAAGGUUGCCGUGUGCCGCUGUGUGUGAACUUGUGCGAGGACGCCACGGGGAUGGGGUUCGGAGCCACAGGUGUGCACCGUCAUCUGUUCACCGCCUCUUGGCUCGAAACUCCCGCUUCAAGACCUGCUCUGUGAUGACGGACAGACUUACCUGAAGCAUUUCUGCUUUACGGUGAGCAGAUCAUUCCAUAGGGCAGGCACUGAAGGAUAAAUUCACCGCUGAGAGACAAUUAAUUGAUCGCUGGCUUUUUUCCUUGCUGGUAUGAGGAAAUUCUCCUAUUUCUUUGCACAUCUAGUAAUUUUUGGCUGAAUGCUGAACGUUCUGUGAAGACUCUGGAUUCUGUUAUCUUCCUCUGGAGACUGUGGGUUCUUAUUUUAGUGGCCAUUCAAUCGCUGGGCCUGUAGGGGCUUGUUCUCAUGCUUUUUGGUGUUGAUUUGUGGAACACCCAACAUAACUUCCCUCAGAUGGAUAAGAUUCAACUUUCAGUCUUGGUCCCCCAGCCUUUCACGAGGCUCAGCUUUAACUUUUCUUAGAUUGGUCCUAGAGUAGACAUUACUGUAGGUGGUACUCUUCUCUCUCUUUUAAUGUUUAUUUAUUUGGGGGAGAGAAAGACAGAGUGUGAGUGGGGGAGGGGCAGAGAGAGAGGGAGACACGCAAUCCAAAGCAGGCUCCGGGCUCUGGGCUCUCAGCACAGAGCCCGACACGGGGCUCGAACCCACAAACCGUGAGAUCAUGACCUGAGCCAAAGUUGACUGAGCCACCCAGGCACCCCAUCUCUCUCUCUCUUUUUUUUUUUAAUUUUAUUUAUUUAAGUAAUCUCUACCCCCAACGUAGGGCCCAAACUCAUGACCAUGAGAUCAAGAGUUGUGUGCUCCUCCGACUGAGCCAGCCCGGUGCCCCUGUAGUCUUAUCUCUUAAAGAAACAAGUCAGAAGGUCUCUCCACCCCAGCCAGGUCCAGAUACCAGUGGUGCCCAGCAUGGGAUGUCUGCUGACAUUCUGGCUCUGAUCUCAACUCACCCCCCCUCCCCAGGAUUCAUGCCCUGGAGUAACUUCUUCCCCCUGAGGGCAGAAAGAGCCUGUGGCUUGCAUCCAGCCAACAGAACAUGACAGAGGGGGUGAGCUAUAACUCCCUUACUUGGCCUACGUUAUUUAAGACCUUGUCUCGGCAGACAGACCGGAACGAGGGAUUCUCCUCUUGCCCUUGAAGAAGAGAACUACCAAGAUGCGAGAAGGCCUGUAAGGGGCCACAGGUCAAGGAACCCCUAAGACCUGUGAGUGGCCUCCAGCUGUCCAGCCAAAGAAAGCAGCCAUGUGACCUUAGAAGAGGACCGCGAGCUUCGUAAGGAAACUGAUGGCUUGGUGGCACCCGUCUGAAGCCCUGAGCAGAGGACCCAGUAAGCCGUGCCUGGACCCCUGACCCAGGGAGCUGGGUGUGCACAAUAAACGCAUGUUUUGUAAAGCCACU
This 3409-nucleotide long non-coding RNA is filed under the name Lynx pardinus (Iberian lynx). Lineage: Eukaryota; Metazoa; Chordata; Mammalia; Carnivora; Felidae. The record is from RNAcentral.